AUACCUUUCUCGGCCUUUUGGCUAAGAUCAAGUGUAGUAUCUGUUCUUAUCAGUUUAAUAUCUGAUAUGUGGGCCAUGUGCCCACAAUGAUAUUAAAUUUAUUUUUUGUGGGGGAGGGACCACCAUAAUGGCUUGCCAUUGGGUCCCUUAUGUGUCGCCCAGUAUGUUGCACUACUGCCUGGGCAGGCUCACCCCAA
Molecule: non-coding RNA, 197 nt
Organism: Triticum aestivum (bread wheat)
Lineage: Eukaryota; Viridiplantae; Streptophyta; Magnoliopsida; Poales; Poaceae
Source: Rfam